Molecule: ribosomal RNA, 296 nt
Filed under: uncultured sponge symbiont
Lineage: Bacteria
Description: partial 16S ribosomal RNA
Source: RNAcentral
CCUACUUACCCCUUCCCCGUUGGUUGGCCGUUCGUUCCGUCCCCCUACCCCGAACCGUACGUAAACGUAACGUCGUCGGUACCAACCCGUACGGGUUGGGUUGGUAACAACGGAAGUACUUCCAGUGAGGACCGUACCCCACGACGACGAUCUAGCUCCUCGCGUUACAUAGACCUGCCUGCAGCCCAGGCACUCUGCUGUUCCAUUACCUGCAACUCGACUCCAUGAAGUCGGAGUCGCUAGUAAUCCCGGAUCAGCAACGCCGGGUGAAUACGUUCCCGGGCCUUGUACACACC